GGGCGUCCCUUCUGGGACGCCACCGGCGGACGGCUCAGUAACACGUCGGUAACCUACCCUCGGGAGGGGGAUAACCCCGGGAAACUGGGGCUAAUCCCCCAUAGGCCUGGGGUACUGGAAGGUCCCCAGGCCGAAAGGGGACCGUAAGGUCCCGCCCGAGGAUGGGCCGGCGGCCGAUUAGGUAGUUGGUGGGGUAACGGCCCACCAAGCCGAAGAUCGGUACGGGCCGUGAGAGCGGGAGCCCGGAGAUGGACACUGAGACACGGGUCCAGGCCCUACGGGGCGCAGCAGGCGCGAAACCUCCGCAAUGCGGGAAACCGCGACGGGGGGACCCCCAGUGCCGUGCCUCUGGCACGGCUUUUCCGGAGUGUAAAAAGCUCCGGGAAUAAGGGCUGGGCAAGGCCGGUGGCAGCCGCCGCGGUAAUACCGGCGGCCCGAGUGGUGGCCACUAUUAUUGGGCCUAAAGCGGCCGUAGCCGGGCCCGUAAGUCCCUGGCGAAAUCCCACGGCUCAACCGUGGGGCUCGCUGGGGAUACUGCGGGCCUUGGGACCGGGAGAGGCCGGGGGUACCCCCGGGGUAGGGGUGAAAUCCUAUAAUCCCGGGGGGACCGCCAGUGGCGAAGGCGCCCGGCUGGAACGGGUCCGACGGUGAGGGCCGAAGGCCAGGGGAGCGAACCGGAUUAGAUACCCGGGUAGUCCUGGCUGUAAAGGAUGCGGGCUAGGUGUCGGGCGAGCUUCGAGCUCGCCCGGUGCCGUAGGGAAGCCGUUAAGCCCGCCGCCUGGGGAGUACGGCCGCAAGGCUGAAACUUAAAGGAAUUGGCGGGGGAGCACUACAAGGGGUGGAGCGUGCGGUUUAAUUGGAUUCAACGCCGGGAACCUCACCGGGGGCGACGGCAGGAUGAAGGCCAGGCUGAAGGUCUUGCCGGACGCGCCGAGAGGAGGUGCAUGGCCGCCGUCAGCUCGUACCGUGAGGCGUCCACUUAAGUGUGGUAACGAGCGAGACCCGCGCCCCCAGUUGCCAGUCCCUCCCGCUCGGGAGGGAGGCACUCUGGGGGGACUGCCGGCGAUAAGCCGGAGGAAGGGGCGGGCGACGGUAGGUCAGUAUGCCCCGAAACCCCCGGGCUACACGCGCGCUACAAUGGGCGGGACAAUGGGACCCGACCCCGAAAGGGGAAGGGAAUCCCCUAAACCCGCCCUCAGUUCGGAUCGCGGGCUGCAACUCGCCCGCGUGAAGCUGGAAUCCCUAGUACCCGCGCGUCAUCAUCGCGCGGCGAAUACGUCCCUGCUCCUUGCACACACCGCCCGUCACUCCACCCGAGCGGGGCCCGGGUGAGGCCCGAUCUCCUUCGGGAGGUCGGGUCGAGCCUGGGCUCCGUGAGGGGGGAGAAGUCGUAACAAGGUAGCC
Molecule: ribosomal RNA, 1404 nt
Filed under: Pyrococcus glycovorans
Lineage: Archaea; Methanobacteriati; Methanobacteriota; Thermococci; Thermococcales; Thermococcaceae
Description: 16S ribosomal RNA
Rfam family: Archaeal small subunit ribosomal RNA
Source: RNAcentral